Molecule: ribosomal RNA, 492 nt
Filed under: uncultured bacterium
Lineage: Bacteria
Description: partial 16S ribosomal RNA
Rfam family: Bacterial small subunit ribosomal RNA
Source: RNAcentral
AGUGAACGCUGGCGGUAGGCCUAACACAUGCAAGUCGAACGGCAGCACAGUAAGAGCUUGCUCUUACGGGUGGCGAGUGGCGGACGGGUGAGGAAUACACCGGAAUCUACUUUUUCGUGGGGGAUAACGUAGGGAAACUUACGCUAAUACCGCAUACGACCUACGGGUGAAAGCAGGGGAUCUUCGGACCUUGCGCGAUUGAAUGAGCCGAUGUCGGAUUAGCUAGUUGGCGGGGUAAAGGCCCACGAAGGCGACGAUCGGUAGAUGAUCUCAGAGGAUGAUCAGCCACACUGGAACUGAGACACGGUCCAGACUCCUACGGGAGGCAGCAGUGGGGAAUAUUGGACAAUGGGCGCAAGCCUGAUCCGGCCAUACCGCGUGGGUGAAGAAGGCCUUCGGGUUGUAAAGCCCUUUUGUUGGGAAAGAAAAGCAGCAGGUUAAUACCCCGCUGUUCUGACGGUACCCAAAGAAUAAGCACCGGCUAACUUCGUG